Molecule: ribosomal RNA, 1213 nt
Filed under: Ligilactobacillus animalis
Lineage: Bacteria; Bacillati; Bacillota; Bacilli; Lactobacillales; Lactobacillaceae
Description: bacterial SSU rRNA
Rfam family: Bacterial small subunit ribosomal RNA (bases 294-1213)
Source: RNAcentral
UGCAUUCACAGUUGUACGCGGUGGAACUGCGUAGAUAUAUGAAGAACUUUCAGAGCCGAAAGUGGCUACCUGGUCUGUCAACUGACAGCUGAGAUAGAAAGCGUGGGUAGCAAACAUGAUUAGUAUAUCUGGUAGUCCACGCGCGUAAACGAUGAAUGCUAAGUGUUGGAGGGCUCUCGCCGUCUCAGUGGUGCAGCUAACGCAAUAAGCAUUCCGCCUGGGGAGUACGACUCGCAAGGUUGAAACUCAAAGGAAUUGACGGGGGCCCCAACAAAUCGGUGGAGCAUGUGGUUUAAUUUGAGAGUUUGGAUCAUGGCUCAGGAUGAACGCUGGCGGCGUGCCUAAUACAUGCAAGUCGAACGAAACUUCUUUAUCACCGAGCGCUUGCACUCACCGAUAAAGAGUUGAGUGGCGAACGGGUGAGUAACACGUGGGCAACCUGCCCAAAAGAGGGGGAUAACACUUGGAAACAGGUGCUAAUCCCGCAUACCCAUAGUUACCGCAUGGUAACUAUGUAAAAGGUGGCUAUGCUACCGCUUUUGGAUGGGCCCGCGGCGCAUUAGCUAGUUGGUGGGGUAAAGGCUUACCAAGGCAAUGAUGCGUAGCCGAACUGAGAGGUUGAUCGGCCACAUUGGGACUGAGACACGGCCCAAACUCCUACGGGAGGCAGCAGUAGGGAAUCUUCCACAAUGGGCGAAAGCCUGAUGGAGCAACGCCGCGUGGGUGAAGAAGGUCUUCGGAUCGUAAACACCCUGUUGUUAGAGAAGAAAGUGCGUGAGAGUAACUGUUCACGUUUCGACGGUAUCUAACCAGAAAGCCGAUCGGCUAACUACGUGCCAGCAGCCGCGGUAAUACGUAGGUGGCAAGCGUUAUCCGGAUUUAUUGGGCGUAAAGGGAACGCAGGCGGUCUUUUAAGUCUGAUGUGAAAGCCUUCGGCUUAACCGGAGUAGUGCAUUCGAAACUGGGCGACUUGACUGCAGAAGAGGAGAGUGGAACUCCAUGUGUAGCGGUGAAAUGCGUAGAUAUAUGGAAGAACACCAGUGGCGAAAGCGGCUCUCUGGUCUGUAACUGACGCUGAGGUUCGAAAGCGUGGGUAGCAAACAGGAUUAGAUACCCCGGUAGUCCACCCCGUAAACGAUGAAUCCUAAGUGUUGGAGGGUUUCCGCCCUUCAGUGCUGCAGCUAACGCAAUAAGCACCCGCCUGGACUGCGCG